AUUGAACGCUGGCGGCAUGCCUUACACAUGCAAGUCGAACGGCAGCGCGGACUUCGGUCUGGCGGCGAGUGGCGAACGGGUGAGUAAUACAUCGGAACGUACCCUGUUGUGGGGGAUAACUAGUCGAAAGAUUAGCUAAUACCGCAUACGACCUGAGGGUGAAAGUGGGGGACCGCAAGGCCUCACGCAGCAGGAGCGGCCGAUGUCUGAUUAGCUAGUUGGUGGGGUAAAGGCCCACCACGGGGACGAUCAGUAGCUGGUCUGAGAGGACGAUCAGCCACACUGGGACUGGGACACGGCCCAGACUCCUACGGGAGGCAGCAGUGGGGAAUUUUGGACAAUGGGGGCAACCCUGAUCCAGCAAUGCCGCGUGUGUGAAGAAGGCCUUCGGGUUGUAAAGCACUUUUGUCCGGAAAGAAAUCGCGCUGGUUAAUACCUGGCGUGGAUGACGGUACCGGAAGAAUAAGCACCGGCUAACUACGUGCCAGCCGCCGCCGUAA
RNAcentral lists this ribosomal RNA (500 nucleotides) under uncultured bacterium. RNAcentral's name for it is "partial 16S ribosomal RNA". It matches the Rfam family "Bacterial small subunit ribosomal RNA", at positions 29 to 523 of the family's 1533-position model. The record is from RNAcentral.